Molecule: long non-coding RNA, 508 nt
Organism: Eucalyptus grandis
Lineage: Eukaryota; Viridiplantae; Streptophyta; Magnoliopsida; Myrtales; Myrtaceae
Exons: 3
Source: RefSeq, a predicted model, not a curated record
AAUCAGUGGCUGCAGCUGCAGCCGCAUCAUCAGUUGCACGGGCUCCAUCACUUCGGAGACUGAACACCCAUAAAGGAGCUGGAGGCCUUACCAAGCACGUGCAGGUCCCGAGAAAAACUGCUGAGGAUGAUCCAAGUUCUGCUAGGUCAAUGGGCAGUCCAGGUUUGCCAACCUCUGGGGCUUAGGCUUGAAGUUUUGGCAAGGCUAACAUCAGAAAACGCUUCCACGGGACGGGGGAGUCAAAAUUGAAGUAUUAUGAAGAUUAUCCCAUGAUAUUGAACGGCUUUAUCUUGAACAAUCUUUGUGCCAAAGUAAUUAUUAUAUCCCGUGGAGCGGAGAGAUGCAGUCCUGAAGUAAUUAAUGCCUACUAUAUGUCCAGAUGUUCAGUUGUCCGAUGCAAUUUUGUUUGGCUGGCGCAUGUUCACCGUCGCUUUAUAAUUAGAUUAUUUUGUUUCCGAGAAGAGACGAAAACAAUGAGUUUCAUCAGUCAAGAUCGAAGAUAGUUUUU